GGGGGCGACCGGUAUUGACAGCUUGUGCAGGUCGGUGGUAAGCACGUCGGGAGUUGGUCUGAUCUCCUGUUAAAAAUUAGUCCGAAAAACAACCGGCAAUACUCAGUAUGCCAUGGCAGCUUAAUCCUUAAGGGAUUUCGUUUUGGAUAGUUAUCAACGGAGUUGGAGCUAUUCGCCACACCCCACUCGGCUAAACUCUGCCGCUGGGAUACGGGGUGUCGAAACGCAGAGUCGAAUGUUGUGAUUUCUCUAAGCAAACAUUUAGUACAGAGAGGAUAAGGAUAGAUUAAGGUCCGGCUUGAACCCUGCCUAUCUCGAAAAAAUAAUCAAGACUAAACGUGAAGAAAGCUAUCGAGUUCCUUGUCUGGACGAGAGUUCGAAUCUCUCCGUCUCCACAU
This 398-nucleotide transfer-messenger RNA is filed under the name Arcicella sp. BE51. It matches the Rfam family "transfer-messenger RNA". Rfam says of the family: Bacterial tmRNA, also known as 10Sa RNA or SsrA, is named for its dual tRNA and mRNA-like properties. Its role is to liberate the mRNA from a stalled ribosome. The record is from RNAcentral. Lineage: Bacteria; Pseudomonadati; Bacteroidota; Cytophagia; Cytophagales; Flectobacillaceae. RNAcentral also lists the same sequence under 3 other names.